AGGGAGAACAUUUUUUAUAGCACCAAACCAGAGCAGGGAGGAAAAACCAAAACAUUUCAACCAACAAGAAAAUGGACCAAAAAAACCCACAUACUAAUCAAUAAACUAAGUUACACUUAAGUCGCACUACAGCCAGUUACAAUCUGUUUCUUAACCUUUGGCUAAUUUCGAGCACUAAAAACUAUAACUACAACCUUUCCCUUUCUAUUUUCCAGUAAUUUCUCAGCAACCAAACAGAAAAUGAACCUAAGAGCAUAAUAAAAAUAAUUCAAACUUCGUAAAAUAACUAAAAAAAAUAUUAGAAUUAUUAAAAAAAACUAAAAAUAUUUAGAUUUAUUAUUUGUUUUAAUUUAACCUAAAAAUUCUCUCUAA
Molecule: unclassified non-coding RNA, 372 nt
Filed under: Hevea brasiliensis (rubber tree)
Lineage: Eukaryota; Viridiplantae; Streptophyta; Magnoliopsida; Malpighiales; Euphorbiaceae
Source: RNAcentral